GUCUGGUCCAAACAAUAGGAGUUUCCUAAUUUGGAAAACAAAGGUACUGGUCUGAGAAAGGUGCUGUCACACCUAAACUCUAAUUAACAUUAACAAAGGGUCAAGGACACUGGAGCCAGCUGAAUGGAUCCCUGGUGAUAUGCAUAAUCAGUCAGGAAGGACAGUCUUUGUGGAAACGCAGACAUGACGAUUGGAAUACCCAAAAUGGCGGACGGGUAACUUCCUGUAAAUGACUCGUAUGUACUAGCAUCAUUCAAAUGGACCAAUCAGGAGAGAUUUCUAGAAAGUUCUAGAAUCCACCCAUCACUCCUGUAUAUAGGUUGGCUUCAGUAGGGCACAAGAAGACUCAGGGCCAGGAAAGGAGUGACCACCGUACCAGAUCAGAGGAAAUCCUGACAUCACAGACCAGGCACUUAAGGAGAGGCUGAAGAGGAAUUACAUUUGAAAAAAUCCAGGACUGGAUCAUUAUCACCAUAAUAACAUGAUUUUACCUGACUUCUCUGAGACGUGUUUGUGACAGAUGCAAAGGAAGUCAAGAAACCCAGAUGCAGCAAACCAGGAUGUACAUCUGCUUCAUCCCACUGCAUUAACCACCAGCAUAUAUCUAGUGAUGGGUGGGGCUGCUGAAGAGAACCUUCUAGCAGAGGAAAUACCUUUUGAAACAGCAUCUCCUUUACUUCCUCCUGUGUAUGUAAAACACUAAAAUCAGUGCUCUUUUUCCUUUUCAA
Xenopus tropicalis (tropical clawed frog) is the source of this 728-nucleotide long non-coding RNA. RefSeq lists it as uncharacterized. The transcript has 3 exons. NCBI's taxonomy places the organism in Eukaryota, Metazoa, Chordata, Amphibia, Anura, Pipidae. The record is from RefSeq and is a predicted model, not a curated record.